Molecule: ribosomal RNA, 957 nt
Filed under: Triticum aestivum (bread wheat)
Lineage: Eukaryota; Viridiplantae; Streptophyta; Magnoliopsida; Poales; Poaceae
Description: partial small subunit ribosomal RNA
Source: RNAcentral
AUGCUUGCAUACAAGGUGAAGGGUGAAGAAAAGAGGGCCACGUUCAAGCUUAAGUAUGAGAGAGUACCACACUUUUGUUUUCACUGUGGUUUUAUGGGGCAUGACAAAGAUGCCUGUGAGAAGAUGUUAGUGGGGUUGCCGUCAAAGGCCUAUGACUCCACACUUCGCUGCUCCCCUUUCAAGAAGUUUGAGCACCGUUCUGCUUUUACACCUUCUCCGGGUCAGCCAAGAGCGCGGCGGGGCAUGGAUUUUUCACUGGGGAGUGCCGGAUCAGGGACCCAACAUGCAGCUCGCUCAACUGCAAGCUCUGGCUCUGGGAGAUCACCUGUAAUUCCAGACAGAGUUGAUGCUCACGACGGUUUUGAGGAACAGGAAAAACCAGGUCCGGCGGAGGCUGACGCCCUUCUUGCUAGCCAAGUUGAAAACAUGCGUCUCCGGUUGGCGAAAGAGAAAGAUGAGUGUAGCAAGGUCCAGUUGGUGAAAGCCCAGUUUGAAGCGAGGGCAAUGGAAAAAAGUGCAGAACCAUUGUCUAAGUCGAGGAGGAAAAAGAGUGCACCACUGCCUAAAAAGGCUCUGGCAGGAAGAAAGCAGGGUCCGCUGGUGAUUAGGGAUGCACCUUUAAAUUCAGAAGAGAAGAUUCCAGCUAUACGCAACCUAGACAAGGUGCAUGUGUCAUUUGGAAGUGCAUCAGAAUCCAUGGACUACAACGACUCAAUUCUGGGCAAGCGGCAUGUGCUGGGCCUAAUGGCUAAUGUUACUGUAGCAGCAGAGGACAAGGCUCUGGUGUUGUUUGGUGAUGUACCAGAGGGAGGCUUACAGAAGAAAGGCAAGUUGGAUCAAAGUCAGGUGGAUGAGGAGGUGAAUAGUAUGAUGCGUGAGGUGGAACUGGAGGCAACCGGCCCAGGGGCCGCUGGUAUAUUGACGGGGUCGCGCGCGCCGCCCCGUCAGGAACAAUGA